Molecule: ribosomal RNA, 291 nt
Filed under: uncultured eukaryote
Lineage: Eukaryota
Description: partial 18S ribosomal RNA
Rfam family: Eukaryotic small subunit ribosomal RNA
Source: RNAcentral
GGUUGAUCCUGCCAGUAGUCAUAUGCUUGUCUCAAAGAUUAAGCCAUGCAUGUCUAAGUAUAAACAUCUUUAUACCGUGAAACUGCGUACAGCUCAUUAUAUCAGUUAGAAUUUAUUUGAUGGUACCUUUACUACAUGGAUAACCGUAGUAAUUCUAGAGCUAAUACAUGCGUAAAGUUCCAACUCAGCAAUGGGAAGGGAUGUAUUUAUUAGAUAAAAAAUCAAUGCAGGUAGCAAUAUCUGGUCUCCAUUGAUGAAUCAUAGUAACUGUUCGAAUCGCAUAGUCUUGUA